AUGCUUACUUCAGAGGCACAAAUACUAAAAUUGGAAUGAUAUAGAGAUUAGCAUGGACGCUGUGCAAAGAUGACAUGCAAAUUUCUGAAGCAUUCAGUUUUUAG
Molecule: small nuclear RNA, 104 nt
Organism: Trichosurus vulpecula (common brushtail)
Lineage: Eukaryota; Metazoa; Chordata; Mammalia; Diprotodontia; Phalangeridae
Source: RefSeq, a predicted model, not a curated record